GGUAGUAGCAAAUAUUUAAGUUCGAUCCUUGAAGAUUGAAGUGGAGAAGGGUUCCACGUGAACAGUAGAUGAAUUUGGGUCAGUCCAUCCUUAGAUACUGGCUUAUGCCUUGGGUGAUUGAGAGGGAAAAAUUUCUUCCCCCUCGGAUAUCAAAACGGAAUAGCGUUAAUAUUCCCUAAUGCAGACACAGAGAUUGCUGCUCUUUGAGUCGCUUGCGCGGUAACGCAUUCGAACUUGGUUACGUCGCUCAGAGACCGAGCUAGAGUUCUCUUCUCUAGUUAAGGAACGGACUCCCUGGAAUCGCUUCAGCCGUAGAUAGAGACGUUGCUUCCGAAAUCAGCAUUGAAAUCUAAUUCAAAAACACUCGCAUCUGUAUAAGGUGGAGUCGGCAGUAAUGAAAAGAAUGUCGAAGGUAAGACUGGAAGGAAGUCAAAUUUCACCGCUGCUC
RNAcentral lists this non-coding RNA (448 nucleotides) under Ancylostoma ceylanicum. RNAcentral's name for it is "Eukaryotic large subunit ribosomal RNA". It matches the Rfam family "Eukaryotic large subunit ribosomal RNA", at positions 1456 to 1804 of the family's 3401-position model. Lineage: Eukaryota; Metazoa; Nematoda; Chromadorea; Rhabditida; Ancylostomatidae. The record is from Rfam by way of RNAcentral.